RNAcentral lists this non-coding RNA (29 nucleotides) under Mus musculus (house mouse). The record is from RNAcentral. Lineage: Eukaryota; Metazoa; Chordata; Mammalia; Rodentia; Muridae.
GACAACUCAAAGAAAUUUGCCACCAUGGA